CAGUCGCCGCGGGAAUACGGAGGAUCCGAGCGUUAUCCGGAUUUAUUGGGUGUAAAGGGUGCGUAGGCGGCCUUGUAAGUCAGGGGUGAAAGACGGUAGCUUAACUAUCGCAGUGCCUUUGAUACUGCAGGGCUUGAAUGUACUUGAGGUAGGCGGAAUGUGACAAGUAGCGGUGAAAUGCAUAGAUAUGUCACAGAACACCAAUUGCGAAGGCAGCUUACUAAAGUAUGAUUGACGCUGAGGCACGAAAGCGUGGGGAUCAAACAGGAUUAGAUACCCGAGUAGUCCCUGUCUCUUAUAC
This 301-nucleotide ribosomal RNA is filed under the name uncultured bacterium. Its description in RNAcentral is "partial 16S ribosomal RNA". It matches the Rfam family "Bacterial small subunit ribosomal RNA", at positions 509 to 807 of the family's 1533-position model. The record is from RNAcentral.